Gossypium hirsutum (cotton) is the source of this 107-nucleotide non-coding RNA. The record is from Rfam. Lineage: Eukaryota; Viridiplantae; Streptophyta; Magnoliopsida; Malvales; Malvaceae.
AAGUCGUGAUGAGGGCAAUUUCGUAGUAAUUCCUUGAACAGCUCCCAUGCCUCAAAUAAAGAUUCUUCAUCAAGUUGUUGAAAUGAAGUGUUUUCAUUUUGGAUCUU